UGGUGCCAAUAGCACAGUGGAACCACUCCGAUCCAUCUCGAACUCGGUUGUUAAACGCUGUAGCGGCAAUAAUACUUAAGGGGAAGCCCUUUGGAAAGUAGCUCAGUGCCAAGCUAUA
This 118-nucleotide ribosomal RNA is filed under the name Pyropia yezoensis (susabi-nori). Lineage: Eukaryota; Rhodophyta; Bangiophyceae; Bangiales; Bangiaceae. The record is from RNAcentral.